RNAcentral lists this ribosomal RNA (835 nucleotides) under uncultured archaeon. RNAcentral describes it as "bacterial SSU rRNA". It matches the Rfam family "Archaeal small subunit ribosomal RNA", at positions 21 to 859 of the family's 1478-position model. The record is from RNAcentral.
GGUUACUGCUAUCGGUGUUCGCCUAAGCCAUGCGAGUCAUAUGUAGCAAUACAUGGCGUACUGCUCAGUAACACGUGGAUAACCUGCCCUUGGGUCCGGCAUAACCCCGGGAAACUGGGGAUAAUUCCGGAUAACGCAUAUAUGCUGGAAUGCUUUCUGCGUAAAAUGGAUUCGUCUGCCCAAGGAUGGGUCUGCGGCCUAUCAGGUAGUAGUGGGUGUAAUGUACCUACUAGCCUACGACGGGUACGGGUUGUGAGAGCAAGAGCCCGGAGAUGGAUUCUGAGACAUGAAUCCAGGCCCUACGGGGCGCAGCAGGCGCGAAAACUUUACAAUGCGGGAAACCGUGAUAAGGGGACACCGAGUGCCAGCAUCCUAUGCUGGCUGUCCUGGUGUGUAAAAUACACCUGUUAGCAAGGGCCGGGCAAGACCGGUGCCAGCCGCCGCGGUAACACCGGCGGCCCGAGUGGUGAUCGUGAUUAUUGGGUCUAAAGGGUCCGUAGCCGGUUUGGUCAGUCCUCCGGGAAAUCUGACAGCUCAACUGUUAGGCUUUCGGAGGAUACUGCCAGACUUGGAACCGGGAGAGGUAAGAGGUACUACAGGGGUAGGAGUGAAAUCUUGUAAUCCCUGUGGGACCACCUGUGGCGAAGGCGUCUUACCAGAACGGGUUCGACGGUGAGGGACGAAAGCUGGGGGCACGAACCGGAUUAGAUACCCGGGUAGUCCCAGCCGUAAACGAUGCUCGCUAGGUGUCAGGCAUGGCGCGACCGUGUCUGGUGCCGCAGGGAAGCCGUGAAGCGAGCCACCUGGGAAGUACGGCCGCAAGGCUGAAACUUAA